GAUGAACGCUGGCGGCGUGCCUAAUACAUGCAAGUCGAGCGAACAGACGAGGAGCUUGCUCCUCUGACGUUAUCGGCGGACGGGUGAGUAACACGUGGAUAACCUACCUAUAAGACUGGGAUAACUUCGGGAAACCGAAGCUAAUACCGGAUAAUAUAUUGAACCGCAUGGUUCAAUAGUGAAAGACGGUUUUGCUUUCACUUAUAGAUUGAUCCGCGCCGCAUUAGCUAGUUGGUAAGGUAACGGCUUACCAAGGCGACGAUGCGUAGCCGACCUGAGAGGGUGAUCGGCCACACUGGAACUGAGAAACGGUCCAGACUCCUACGGGAGGCAGCAGUAGGGAAUCUUCCGCAAAGGGCGAAAGCCUGACGGAGCAACGCCGCGUGAGUGAUGAAGGUCUUCGGAUCGUAAAACUCUGUUAUUAGGGAAGAACAAAUGUGUAAGUAACUAUGCACGUAUUGACGGUACCUAAUCAGAAAGCCACGGCUAACUACGUG
This 497-nucleotide ribosomal RNA is filed under the name uncultured bacterium. RNAcentral describes it as "partial 16S ribosomal RNA". It matches the Rfam family "Bacterial small subunit ribosomal RNA", at positions 28 to 507 of the family's 1533-position model. The record is from RNAcentral.